Molecule: long non-coding RNA, 859 nt
Organism: Diachasmimorpha longicaudata
Lineage: Eukaryota; Metazoa; Arthropoda; Insecta; Hymenoptera; Braconidae
Exons: 3
Source: RefSeq, a predicted model, not a curated record
UGGGGCUCGUUUUAUGUAGUGGAACACACAUUCGCCAGUGCGGUAUGUGUACUCUGCACUCGAAAGUUCCCGACGAACCGACGUCACUUCUCAAAAAAUAAAAAUAAAAUAAAACAGAGAUGAUAAAAAUAAAGAAGGAAAAAUACAUUAUUCUCCACUCGAGUAUCUCUACAGCCUUUGGUUGUACAUGACUGUAUGUACAGAGGCGUAGGCGAGAUUGUGUACAUAGUGACUGGGAUUGGUGAUCCUACUACAUUGCCAAUGAGGCUGGUACACUAGGUCAAUAAUGUGGACAUUGCCCGGCGAAAUUAUUUCAGGGGUUUAUGUGCAUUUCAUUACAAAUGCUGAUCAAAGAACAUUGAUUUUCGUAUUUUCUGAUGGAGACCCAUGAUAUUCACUUGAUAAAAUGGAAUUCAUUUUUUUGGACUACAAAUACUUGGCUGAAGACCUUCGGACGAUGGCAUGUUGCAAAUUUUUGUGGUAGCCAAAAAUACGAGCUCCGGGGCAGAUAGUCCAGCGACCGAGUCCAAAAGAAGCCACGAAGUUAAACGAUUAACCGAGAGCACUCAACCCCUUGUGUUGAAGGAAUUACAACGAAAUAUUCUAGUCGAGACGGUUGGUGAACGCCAAGAACCGAGACGAUAUGACAAUUUGUCUCUCUCGUUCUUCCACGAGUGUCUCGUGACUUCUCCACGAACGAGGAUUAUCUCUGUCCCUAUUGGAGGGAAGAAAAAAGAGACCCCCGCAUGCCUCGGAUCUUCCGUUAAAGACGCCUCAAAUUAGUCGGAUCGUUUGAAAUCCCUCUCUUCAAGGUUAUGGAAUUCCUUUUAACGUUAUUUCUAUCUGUCUUUUAAAUGGA